Molecule: ribosomal RNA, 440 nt
Filed under: uncultured bacterium
Lineage: Bacteria
Description: partial 16S ribosomal RNA
Rfam family: Bacterial small subunit ribosomal RNA
Source: RNAcentral
CCUACGGGAGGCAGCAGUGGGGGAUAUUGCACAAUGGGGGAAACCCUGAUGCAGCGACGCCGCGUGAGUGAAGAAGUAUUUCGGUAUGUAAAGCUCUAUCAGCAGGGAAGAAAAUGACAGUACCUGACCAAGAAGCCCCGGCUAACUACGUGCCAGCAGCCGCGGUAAUACGUAGGGGGCAAGCGUUAUCCGGAUUUACUGGGUGUAAAGGGAGCGUAGACGGCUAUGGAAGUCUGGAGUGAAAGCCCGGGGCCCAACCCCGGGACUGCUUUGGAAACUGUGUAGCUGGAGUGCAGGAGGGGCAGGCGGAAUUCCUGGUGUAGCGGUGAAAUGCGUAGAUAUCAGGAGGAACACCGGCGGCGAAGGCGGCCUGCUGGACUGAAACUGACGUUGAGGCUCGAAAGCGUGGGGAGCAAACAGGAUUAGAUACCCUGGUAGUC